GUAAAGGUUUAUUUUAGUGAACAAAUCACAGUUAUGAGUUAUAAAUGUAAUAUGGAACCAGAAAUGUACUGGAUAAAAGUAGAAAUGGUGCUUUGAGACUUUUUGUAGUGAAAUACGUACCUCAUCUUUACCUUACAAAACACAAACCUCCAGCUGUGCAUAUAACUGUCCUUAUAGUUUCACAAGACACUAACAGUAUAUCAGAACAUGUGCUAUGGUACUAUUUUAAGAAAUGAGAAUGUUUUAGGUUAAAAAUGUUUCAGCAAUCAAAGCAAACUUCCAGAAAUAUGGCUUUUAAAUAGAUAUCUGGACUGUUUGAAAUAUCAA
Long non-coding RNA from Sinocyclocheilus anshuiensis, 327 nucleotides. RefSeq lists it as uncharacterized. The transcript has 2 exons. The record is from RefSeq and is a predicted model, not a curated record. Lineage: Eukaryota; Metazoa; Chordata; Actinopteri; Cypriniformes; Cyprinidae.